RNAcentral lists this transfer RNA (73 nucleotides) under Felis catus (domestic cat). It matches the Rfam family "tRNA". From Rfam's summary of the family: Transfer RNA (tRNA) molecules are approximately 80 nucleotides in length. Their secondary structure includes four short double-helical elements and three loops (D, anti-codon, and T loops). Further hydrogen bonds mediate the characteristic L-shaped molecular structure. tRNAs have two regions of fundamental functional importance: the anti-codon, which is responsible for specific mRNA codon recognition, and the 3' end, to which the tRNAs corresponding amino acid is attached (by aminoacyl-tRNA synthetases). tRNAs cope with the degeneracy of the genetic code in two manners: having more than one tRNA (with a specific anti-codon) for a particular amino acid; and 'wobble' base-pairing, i.e. permitting non-standard base-pairing at the 3rd anti-codon position. Lineage: Eukaryota; Metazoa; Chordata; Mammalia; Carnivora; Felidae. The record is from Rfam by way of RNAcentral.
ACUGGGCUGGCUCAGUCGGCAGAGCAUGCACCUCUUGACCUCAAAGUCAUGAGUUCAAGCCUCAUGUCAAGCA